RNAcentral lists this ribosomal RNA (472 nucleotides) under uncultured marine bacterium. Its description in RNAcentral is "bacterial SSU rRNA". It matches the Rfam family "Bacterial small subunit ribosomal RNA", at positions 8 to 489 of the family's 1533-position model. The record is from RNAcentral.
AGAGUUUGAUCCUGGCUCAGAGUGAACGCUGGCGGCGUGCUUAACACAUGCAAGUCGAACGAGAACGGAUAUUAGCUUGCUAAUAUUGUCAGCUAAGUGGCGCACGGGUGAGUAAUAUAUAGUUAAUCUGCCCUAGAGAGAGGGAUAACAUUUGGAAACGAAUGCUAACACCUUAUAUGCCUUUAAGUCAUAAGACUGCCAAGGGAAACAUUUAUGGCUCUAGGAUGAGACUGUACGGUAUCAGCUAGUUGGUGAGGUAAUGGCUCACCAAGGCAAUGACACCUAACUGGUUUGAGAGGAUGAUCAGUCACACUGGAACUGAGACACGGUCCAGACUCCUACGGGAGGCAGCAGUGGGGAAUAUUGCACAAUGGACGAAAGUCUGAUGCAGCAACGCCGCGUGGAGGAUGACACAUUUCGGUGCGUAAACUCCUUUUAUAUAGGAAGAUAAUGACGGGUACUAUAUGAAUAA